RNAcentral lists this non-coding RNA (155 nucleotides) under Shewanella denitrificans. Lineage: Bacteria; Pseudomonadati; Pseudomonadota; Gammaproteobacteria; Alteromonadales; Shewanellaceae. The record is from RNAcentral. RNAcentral also lists the same sequence under 1 other name.
AUCUAGUCAACCUUUCGUGGUGCCUUUGGCCUUUGGGCCGAGGAUAAUCGGGAAACCAGUGAAAAUCUGGCGCUGCCCCCGCAACGGUGAAUAUCCUAUUUUGGCACUGCCUGAAUGGAUCAAGCCCGGAGACCGGCCCUAAAGGUGAUUUCGAU